This 255-nucleotide ribosomal RNA is filed under the name uncultured Methanosarcinales archaeon. Its description in RNAcentral is "partial 16S ribosomal RNA". It matches the Rfam family "Archaeal small subunit ribosomal RNA", at positions 1066 to 1319 of the family's 1478-position model. Lineage: Archaea; Methanobacteriati; Methanobacteriota; Methanomicrobia; Methanosarcinales. The record is from RNAcentral.
CCCACCAUAUCCUCCGGAAUGAUGGGUCCACUGAGAGGACCGCCCCUGUCAAAUCGGAGGAAGGAACGGGCCACGGUAGGUCAGUAUGCCCCGAAUCUCCUGGGCUACACGCGGGCUACAAUGGCUAGGACCUUUAAGGGCGACCUCGAAAAGGGCAGGUAAUCUUCUAAACCCUUUAAUAUGUGGGAUUGAGGGCUGGAACUCGCCCUCAUGAAGCUGGAAUCCGUAGUAAUCGCGUUCCAUCUCGCGCGGAAU